RNAcentral lists this transfer RNA (77 nucleotides) under Candidatus Altimarinota bacterium. Its description in RNAcentral is "tRNA-Ile". It matches the Rfam family "tRNA". Rfam says of the family: Transfer RNA (tRNA) molecules are approximately 80 nucleotides in length. Their secondary structure includes four short double-helical elements and three loops (D, anti-codon, and T loops). Further hydrogen bonds mediate the characteristic L-shaped molecular structure. tRNAs have two regions of fundamental functional importance: the anti-codon, which is responsible for specific mRNA codon recognition, and the 3' end, to which the tRNAs corresponding amino acid is attached (by aminoacyl-tRNA synthetases). tRNAs cope with the degeneracy of the genetic code in two manners: having more than one tRNA (with a specific anti-codon) for a particular amino acid; and 'wobble' base-pairing, i.e. permitting non-standard base-pairing at the 3rd anti-codon position. Lineage: Bacteria; Candidatus Altimarinota. The record is from RNAcentral.
GGAUCUGUAGCUCAGUUGGUUAGAGCGCACGACUGAUAAUCGUGAGGUCGAAAGUUCAAAUCUUUCCAGAUCCACCA